Molecule: long non-coding RNA, 233 nt
Filed under: Solanum lycopersicum (tomato)
Lineage: Eukaryota; Viridiplantae; Streptophyta; Magnoliopsida; Solanales; Solanaceae
Description: partial TCONS_00013535
Source: RNAcentral
AUUUUACGUUUCCAUAUCGUAUUAAAAGUUCAUAAUCUUGAUAAAACAUUAAUCUUUGGUAAUACUCCUUGCUGGUUCACGUUGAUUGUUCUAUUGAGUUAUAAGAAAUGAUUUUAAUUGCAUAUGGUUGCUCAUAAUAUUCUGCUCGUGCAUAGAGUCAUUUAUCAUUUCACCGAGUCCCGGGCCGGGUAAUGUUCGUGCGGAGUUUCUUGCAUAUGUCACCGAGUUCCUCA